This 460-nucleotide ribosomal RNA is filed under the name uncultured bacterium. Its description in RNAcentral is "partial 16S ribosomal RNA". It matches the Rfam family "Bacterial small subunit ribosomal RNA", at positions 338 to 795 of the family's 1533-position model. The record is from RNAcentral.
CCUACGUGAGGCAGCAGUGAGGAAUAUUGGUCAAUGGGCGCGAGCCUGAACCAGCCAAGUAGCGUGAAGGAUGACUGCCCUACGGGUUGUAAACUUCUUUUAUAAAGGAAUAAAGUGAGGCACGUGUGCCUUUUUGUAUGUACUUUAUGAAUAAGGAUCGGCUAACUCCGUGCCAGCAGCCGCGGUAAUACGGAGGAUCCGAGCGUUAUCCGGCUUUAUUGGGUUUAAAGGGAGCGUAGAUGGGUUGUUAAGUCAGUUGUGAAAGUUUGAGGCUCAACCGUAAAAUUGCAAUUGAUACUGGCAGUCUAGAGUACAGGUGAGGUAGGCGGAAUUCUUGGUGUAGCGGUGAAAUGCGUAGAGAUCACGAGGAACUCCGAUUGCGAAGGCGGCCUACUAAACUGCCACUGACAUUGAUGCUCGAAAGUGUGGGUAUCAAACAGGAUUAGAUACCCCUGUAGUC